GCCGGAGUGGUGGAAUUGGUAGACACGCCUGAUUUAGGAUCAGGUGCCUCACAGCGUGCAGGUUCGAGUCCUGUCUCCGGUA
RNAcentral lists this transfer RNA (82 nucleotides) under Verrucomicrobiota bacterium JB023. RNAcentral's name for it is "tRNA-Leu". It matches the Rfam family "tRNA". From Rfam's summary of the family: Transfer RNA (tRNA) molecules are approximately 80 nucleotides in length. Their secondary structure includes four short double-helical elements and three loops (D, anti-codon, and T loops). Further hydrogen bonds mediate the characteristic L-shaped molecular structure. tRNAs have two regions of fundamental functional importance: the anti-codon, which is responsible for specific mRNA codon recognition, and the 3' end, to which the tRNAs corresponding amino acid is attached (by aminoacyl-tRNA synthetases). tRNAs cope with the degeneracy of the genetic code in two manners: having more than one tRNA (with a specific anti-codon) for a particular amino acid; and 'wobble' base-pairing, i.e. permitting non-standard base-pairing at the 3rd anti-codon position. The record is from RNAcentral. Lineage: Bacteria; Pseudomonadati; Verrucomicrobiota.